GAGCUGGAUCCAGCUGGCACGUGGGCAGGGCUGUCUUGUCAGGGACUGAGGGCUUUUCUCUGUUUUCAAGGUCAGUCUCUGACAGAUGACGGCCAGUAACCUCUGAGCCUCACUGCCGAGGGCCAGCCCACCCACGGCCUCUGUCAAGCUUGGAUAUGAAGCGCGGGGGAAGAGGAGACUCGCUCGUACUGGGUGUGCCCUUGGAACUCUGUUUUCCCAGUUCACACAGAUUCAUAGCCUAUUAUUUUAUGACCCAAAGUACAAAGACUUGCGGGGAGGAAUGAUGGGGAUAGCAGUUUGUCACUGCGCCACAGAAGGAGGCUGCCUGGCUCACAUGUAGGAAGAGCCAUAUCACUGGCACAGGCCUCUGGAUAAUCAUGGAAUAUGCUGAAGUACUCAGCUUCUUGAAUGCAGGCACAGAGAAAACACAGGACUCCUGCCAAAUGAAUGCAGCAUCAAGAGCCAAAUGGCAAUGCAGCAAUGCCCAGUGGAAAAUAAUUUCCAUGGUAGAAGUUUAUACCCCGCAAAACUAUCAACCAAACAUAAGGCUAAAAUCCAUUCUCAAAAAAAAAAAAAAGUUUUAUUUAUUUAUGCCCUGUCUGAGGUAGCUACUGAAGAUUGCUUGCCACCGAAACAAGAUUAAAUCAAGAUAAGGAGAAAAUGUAGAAUAUAGAAAACAAGCAAGCUAGCACAUGAUAGAGGCAAAAGAGUUCCUCAAGAUGAUAAUGAAAAGAGAACUCAAAUUGGAGUAGGUCAGAAAACUCAGGGUUGAGAUUUCUUCUAGAUUAAAUGGAAUUCUUGGAAUGGAAGAACAUAGAGGAUACUGAGACAGCUCAUGAAGACUCUGUGGUUAAAUUAGUAAUCAGUUCAUAGAAAACUGUGGUACCAAAAAGAAGACAAUUAUUAACUCCAAGUAUAACAAAACAUGCAGAAAAAUUCAGAAUAAUCAGAGUAUGCAACGUGGCUGAGUCGUAACUAGCAUUUGUUUAGUUGUAAUAAUGUAAACCAUGCAUAUUGAUCUAACCUAAAUUAUGACAUAUCUGGAAUAGGAAUUUGAGGGAUUGGGAAAUGUGCCUGUGUGUAGUGGAGGCUUUGUGUAAGGGGAGGAAGUGGUGAAAAAAAAUGAACCUCAUCUGCUUUAAGGAAACAUCAAUAGAUAAUAGCUAAAAUGUUUCAAAAAUCAGGAGGAAGAAAUGUAAGCAUAUUAUUUGGAGACACAGUGGCAAAAGUAAUAUCAAGCUAAACGUUUUGGAAGUCAUUGCUGUAGGAAAUGGGAAAUGGGGGGAAGGCAUACAGUACUUCUGGUUUUUAUACAAGUCUUCUAGAACAAUUUGAUGGGUGUAUAACUUUAAUUUUGGAAAUGCAAAUGAAGUAAUACAUGCUUAUUACACCAUUAUUAAUAAUGAUAAAUAUCAUUAUCAUUAAUGAAUAAUAAAUAAAUAGCAGAACCUUGAAUUCA
This is a long non-coding RNA of Homo sapiens (human), 1459 nucleotides long. RefSeq lists it as uncharacterized. NCBI's taxonomy places the organism in Eukaryota, Metazoa, Chordata, Mammalia, Primates, Hominidae. The transcript has 2 exons. The record is from RefSeq and is a predicted model, not a curated record.